This 463-nucleotide ribosomal RNA is filed under the name uncultured soil bacterium. RNAcentral describes it as "bacterial SSU rRNA". It matches the Rfam family "Bacterial small subunit ribosomal RNA", at positions 26 to 520 of the family's 1533-position model. The record is from RNAcentral.
AGGACGAACGCUGGCGGCGUGCCUAAAACAUGCAAGUCGAACGAGGUAGCAAUAUCUAGUGGCGAACGGCGGAGUAAUACAUGAACAACGUGCCCUAAAGUCCGGGACAAACGCAGAAAUGUCAUAAAUACCGGAUGUGGUGGAGAGAUGGCAUCAUCAUUCCAUUAAAUGGUUUUUCGCUUUAGGAGCGGUUCAUGGCCUAUCAGGUAGUUGGUGGGGUAAUGGCCUACCAAGCCGACGACAGGUAGCGGGUCUGAGAGGAUGAUCCGCUCGAGUGGGACUGAGACACGGCCCACACACCUACGGGUGGCAGCAGUUGGGAAUCUUGCACAAUGGGGGAAACCCUGGAUGCAGCGACGCCGCGUGAGGAUGACGGAUCUAGGUCUGUAAACUCCUUUUCAUGGAAAGUACUUAGGACGUUACCAUGAGAAUAAGGACCGCUAACUCGUGACCAGCAGCCCGA